RNAcentral lists this ribosomal RNA (491 nucleotides) under uncultured bacterium. RNAcentral's name for it is "partial 16S ribosomal RNA". It matches the Rfam family "Bacterial small subunit ribosomal RNA", at positions 29 to 507 of the family's 1533-position model. The record is from RNAcentral.
AGUGAACGCUGGCGGUAGGCCUAACACAUGCAAGUCGAACGGCAGCACAGUAAGAGCUUGCUCUUACGGGUGGCGAGUGGCGGACGGGUGAGGAAUACAUCGGAAUCUACUUUUUCGUGGGGGAUAACGUAGGGAAACUUACGCUAAUACCGCAUACGACCUACGGGUGAAAGCAGGGGAUCUUCGGACCUUGCGCGAAUGAAUGAGCCGAUGUCGGAUUAGCUAGUUGGCGGGGUAAAGGCCCACCAAGGCGACGAUCCGUAGCUGGUCUGAGAGGAUGAUCAGCCACACUGAAACUGAGACACGGUCCAGACUCCUACGGGAGGCAGCAGUGGGGAAUAUUGGACAAUGGGCGCGAGCCUGAUCCAGACAUACCGCGUGGGUGAAGAAGGCCUUCGGGUUGUAAAGCCCUUUUGUUGGGAAAGAAAGCAGCAGGUUAAUACCCCGCUGUUCUGACGGUACCCAAAGAAUAAGCACCGGCUAACUUCGUG